This 341-nucleotide unclassified non-coding RNA is filed under the name fungal sp. RNAcentral describes it as "partial internal transcribed spacer region". The stretch from base 1 to 46 matches the Rfam family "Eukaryotic small subunit ribosomal RNA", at positions 1786 to 1831 of the family's 1831-position model. Lineage: Eukaryota; Fungi. The record is from RNAcentral.
AAGUCGUAACAAGGUCUCCGUAGGUGAACCUGCGGAGGGAUCAUUAACACAUGAAAGACACGAGUUGCACAUGAAAGUGAGCGUCUCGCGUUCUUUUGUUUUCCCUAUACACCCAUCUACCGUGAACUAGUAUGCCUUUUUUCUAGCAUGAUUUUCGAAUCUGCUGGUUUGUUUGCUAUUUUUAUGCAAAACCUUUUCCAAUUUUUGAAUUGAACAGUGUUCUUGUUUUAUACUAGUGUGAGUGUAAGCUCUUUCUAGUAUGAACUAGCAUGUUUUUUAACAUUUAGAGUACAACUCUUAGCAACGGAUAUCUUGGUUCUCGCUACGAUGAAAAACGCAGC